AGCGUAUAUUAAAGUUGUUGCAGUUAAAAAGCUCGUAGUUGAAUUUCGGGAUUUAUCCGUUGGUCGGGCUUUUGGGUCUGUACUGGCGUGAUGGAUUUCUACCUUCUGAAUAACCGGCAUGUCAUUAAUUUGGUGCGCCGGGGAAGCAGGACUGUUACCUUGAAAAAUUAGAGUGCUUAAAGCAGGCUAUUGCCUGAAUACAUUAGCAUGGAAUAAUGAAAUAGGACGGCAUGGUUCUAUUUUGUUGGUUUCUAGGAUCACCGUAAUGAUUAAUAGGGAUAGUUGGGGGCAUUAGUAUUCAAUUGUCAGAGGUGAAAUUCUUGGAUUUAUUGAAGACUAACUUCUGCGAAAGCAUUUGCCAAGGAUGUUUUCAUUAAUCAAGAACGAAAGUUAGGGGAUCGAAGACGAUCAGAUACCGUCGUAGUCUUAACCAUAAACUAUGCCGACUAGGGAUCGGACGAUGUUAAUUUUUUAAUGACUCGUUC
RNAcentral lists this ribosomal RNA (485 nucleotides) under uncultured Glomeromycotina. RNAcentral describes it as "SSU rRNA". It matches the Rfam family "Eukaryotic small subunit ribosomal RNA", at positions 596 to 1081 of the family's 1831-position model. The record is from RNAcentral. Lineage: Eukaryota; Fungi; Glomeromycota.